RNAcentral lists this ribosomal RNA (744 nucleotides) under uncultured bacterium. RNAcentral describes it as "bacterial SSU rRNA". It matches the Rfam family "Bacterial small subunit ribosomal RNA", at positions 8 to 796 of the family's 1533-position model. The record is from RNAcentral.
AGAGUUUGAUCAUGGCUCAGAGCGAACGCUGGCGGCGUGCUUAACACAUGCAAGUCGAACGAAGGCUUCGGCCUUAGUGGCGGACGGGUGAGUAACGCGUGGGAAUCUACCUUACGGCGGGGAAUAACAGCGGGAAACUGCUGCUAAUACCGCAUACGCUCUACGGAGGAAAGGCUUCGGCCACCGUUUGAGGAUCCCGCGUCCGAUUAGCUAGUUGGUAGGGUAACGGCCUACCAAGGCGACGAUCGGUAGCUGGUCUGAGAGGAUGAUCAGCCACACUGGGACUGAGACACGGCCCAGACUCCUACGGGAGGCAGCAGUGGGGAAUAUUGGACAAUGGGGGAAACCCUGAUCCAGCGACGCCGCGUGAAUGAUGAAGGCCUUAGGGUUGUAAAGUUCUUUCGUCCGUGACGAUGAUGACAGUAGCGGAAGAAGAAGCUCCGGCUAACUUCGUGCCAGCAGCCGCGGUAAUACGAAGGGGGCUAGCGUUGCUCGGAAUUACUGGGCGUAAAGCGCACGUAGGCGGCGAUUCAAGUUAGAUGUGAAAGGCCUGGGCUCAACCCGGGAACUGCAUUUGAUACUGAAUUGCUAGAGUCCAAGAGAGGGUAGUGGAAUUCCCAGUGUAGAGGUGAAAUUCGUAGAUAUUGGGAAGAACACCAGUGGCGAAGGCGGCUACCUGGCUUGGUACUGACGCUCAGGUGCGAAAGCGUGGGGAGCGAACAGGAUUAGAUACCCUAGUAGUCC